AUCGAACGCUGGCGGCAGGCCUAACACAUGCAAGUCGAACGAGUGGCGGACGGGUGAGUAAUGUCUGGGAAACUGCCCGAUGGAGGGGGAUAACGACUGGAAAAGGUAGCUAAUACCGCAUACCAUCGGAUGUGCCCAGAUGGGUUUAGCUAGUAGGUGGGGUAAAGGCUCACCUAGGCGACGAUCCCUAGCUGGUCUGAGAGGAUGACCAGCCACACUGGAACUGAGACACGGUCCAGACUCCUACGGGAGGCAGCAGUGGGGAAUAUUGCGCAAUGGGCGAAAGCCUGAUGCAGCCAUGCCGCGUGAAUGAAGAAGGUCUUCGGGUUGUAAAGUACUUUCAGCGGGGAGGCGUUACCCACAGAAGAAGCACCGGCUAACUCCGUGCCAGCAGCCGCGGUAAUUC
This 406-nucleotide ribosomal RNA is filed under the name uncultured bacterium. RNAcentral's name for it is "partial 16S ribosomal RNA". It matches the Rfam family "Bacterial small subunit ribosomal RNA", at positions 30 to 526 of the family's 1533-position model. The record is from RNAcentral.